Long non-coding RNA from Bombus terrestris (buff-tailed bumblebee), 3985 nucleotides. RefSeq lists it as uncharacterized. The transcript has 2 exons. Lineage: Eukaryota; Metazoa; Arthropoda; Insecta; Hymenoptera; Apidae. The record is from RefSeq and is a predicted model, not a curated record.
ACUAUUAUAAACCAUGUCAUUGUAUCACGCCAAAUGAAGUUACUGAAAAUUCUCAACGAGAAUUGAUUGUAAAUAUUCUAAUAAAUAUAAAAGAAAAAAAACAAUGAUCCAUCGAUCCAGAGCAGCUUCCAAAUUCGUUACUCAUUUUCCAAGGGGAAAGCAAACAUCAUUUCCAAUCACAGCCUUAAAGUAAUCACAGAUUUAAACUUUCUGUGGUCUGGAACUAUUACCUCGGACCUCUUCGUAGAAGAAUAGAGAGGAGAUUUGGAGAUAAAAUGAAAUAAAUUCACGUAAAUAUGAAGUGAAGUUUAUUUUACAAUAAAUUUUUUAAUAUGCACUUAAAAAAUAUAGUUGUCUUUUUUAAAUUUUUCUUAAGAGAAGAUAACUAAUUCUUCUUAAGCUUUGCCCAACUAACACCAAGACUUUGCAUAAUCCUGCGCGUGCAUCUGAACUCCUACCUUUCCAGGAGAAACUUCUUUAAAUAUCGAGUCUGAAAAAGGAACAAGAUAGUUAGAAAAACAGUUUGCAAUAUGAUUCUAACGAAAUACUCUAUCCAAAUCUAAUGCAUUUUAAGUAUUUGAUUUAAUAGAACAAAAUUCAGAGUUACCUCGACGACAAGACCGUCCCUCGUCAUCACCAUGGAUUAUAUUCUACCGUUUCACGCUCGACUCGUUUUAUGCUUCAAGAUCAUUAGAUUCGAUUGCACGACAACGGUAGAGGAAAAACAGGGAAGACCAUAAAAUGGAGGGUUAAAAACGACGAUGCGAAUGAGACAAAAAAAUAGUGGGACUGAGCAAAAAGCAGACAGUGGCGGGUCAUAAGUGUGAAAAAUGCACAAGUCGAACGUGAAUGACAGUGAAAAGAGGAAAGUGGACAAGUUUGUGUUUUAGGAUAAUAUUACAAACGUAAUGUUUAUUAUACUGCGUAAUAUGUGUAUUAUACUGCAUCGCAGCACUAUUCGCGAAGGAUAGUGACUCUUCCUUUUUUUUUUCUAGAUGUUAAGAUGUAAAUAUAUUCUUAUAUGGCGCAAUUAUAUUUACUAAUUAGAUUAUUUUUAUUAUAAGACGUUUUGUAAUAUGUAGGAUAUAUUUCGAAAAUAAUAAGUAUAUCAGUUUGGUUUGAUCACUAUUGAACGAUUAUAUUUCACUUUAAGUUAAAGUCCGUAGUCGUAUUAUAGAAUUUUUGGAUUUCUAGAAAAUAUUUAAUGAUACAUUUAACAUAUUUAAUGAUAGUUUCAAGUAUUUUUGUCCUUCACAAUAAAAAGGAGCGCAGAAUACUAUUUUACAAAAAGUAGCUAUAAAACUAAACUAUAAAAACUAAUGGAUAAACUUACACCACUAUUAUUCUGAAUCCUUUAGUUGGUGUUCGCCGUCGUUAAAGUGUUAAACAGAAUAAAGUAACAGAAAUAGAAAGAUUAAACAAGAAAAUAGAGAGUUGUUAUUGGAAAAAACAGUUUCUCGGCGAUGCAUCGUCGUUACCGUCGUCCAGUUUACAUGGACCAUUGAUUGCCUAUCACUCCUGAAGAGGAGUCGCGCGUCCUCCACCUCCAGGUAUCCAGUUUACUCGUAAAAAAUUGACUUAUGCUGAUUGGCCGGCGAAUCGGUUGAUUAUCGCCGUCGGUAUUUCUCGCGUUAUUGUACCUUACCCCUGGCUAGUUGCGAACAACCGACGCCAUAGGACGCCAGCAACGGCAACAACAGCGCAGCUGUUGCGUUGCUUGCCUUCGUCGAAGCUACUGUCGGGUAAUUAGCGACGUAUUAAUAUACCCGAUAUAAACGAGCGACGUGCACGCUUGUAUUUCAAGAAGACCACCCAACAUGGUUACGUUCACAUGCGUUAAUUAACGAUUUUCUACCAGGACGAAUCAACGUAAGCAUCCCCCCGUGGUUUUAUUAUUCGACUACAGGCAUCUGCUGUUCCAUCAAUUGCGAAAAAGAAUUGUAUUGAUCGAUGUUGCCGAUUAAUGUUGUGCCACCUUUGCCAAUAGAUGAACACCUCAUAAUUAAUUCGGCCGUUAUUCAUUAGCUCAUCGAACGGGCUGCUUUUCACACGACCUUAUUUUAAUCGACACACGGUCGUUUACAAUCCUCUUGCGCAUAGCCAAUCGUAAGAACUUAAGGGCAGAAUUAUUAGAAUCCUCGGCGUGAGAAUUGUGCGUCGUUCAGUUUAUUAUUAUUUCUUGUAUUGCAACGAGGCUUGUAAAUUUUAUUUUAUUUCUUGUUUUCUUUAAAAAUAGCAGGUAUAAUACUUUCGUGAAGCUGUUGAUUGUAAUCUGUUUGACACAAAUACCUGUGGUUAUCUAUAUAGAGUUAUCGAGACAGGAUUAUUUAGCUUAACCAGAGAACUGAUUGUUUUAAGUCACUGAACGAAAAUUAAGUGUUAUGACAUGUUGUUGGACCGUGGAUUUUUAUGCAUUUAUAGGAAAUUUAAAGGUCAAGAUUGUUCAGAAUACAUAUAAUAUAAAAAAUAUGAAGUGUAUCCUACAAUACCUUACAGGGCAAAAUAUAUAAAAUUCAACGUGGCAGCCAACGUGUUAAUCUGUGAAAAUGCAGAACCGAGGAGAGGGAAGCGUGUCUAUCUUGAAGCUCGAAGAAUGAUCCACGAUCAGGCUAGUCGUGAAGAUGCUUUCGAAUCCCGUAGCGAGCGUCGUUUGUUACACGGUGGAUGGGUAUCAAUUACGCGAAUACCGGCGAUUGAUUGUGCAUUGGCACCGUUCGAACGUGACGGAGAUGCACAAAGCGCUGGAGGGACGAUGUUAUACCCGAGGGCAUCGAUCGACGAUGAUUCAGAAACGUUCCCAUGCUAUCUAAAUUCUAAAUAGAAUCUCAGUAGAAUCGAUGCCGAGGCGUCGGCUGCCAGUCGGAUUCACAGAGACGUUCGAUGAUGAAAUCCAGCUUUGGUUUAUUAAUCUCUGUUUAGACCAAGUGUUGGAUCCAUACGAUGAACUGUUACCUGUGAUAUCUUCUUCGCUGCAAUUAAUGAGAUCGUUUCUUCUUCGGUGCUUCACUUUGUCCUACCUUUUUCUUUGCUUUAAAAUACUUUCUACGAAUACGUGUUCGUAAUGAGUUAGUACAGAGAGAGUUAAGGCCCAAGAUAUUGAAAUUCGUCCGUAAUAUUAUACAUAACGAAGCAUGUAUUAGUUUCGAUGGUUCCAAGCGCAGUAAGGAAUACAAAAAUCUUGAUGUCGUUAAUAAUUGAAGAUUCUGUCUGGGAAAUUUUGAUAUACUCGUUAAUGAAAAUUUCCAAGUUCAAUGUAUGCAUAUAAUAAAAGAACAAGCAAGAUAAUAAUGCGAAAUAGUACAACGAUUGACACAGAAUGAUGGAGAAAAUAUCAGCAAUUUUGAAGAUAGCGAUAAUUAUGAUACAAUAAGUAAUAAUUUUAGGUACUUUGAAUGAAAUAUAUAUGCAUGAGCCAGCUAAACUUCAUAAGAUACAGAUGAUGAUAUGUACCUGUAUUAGAUGGUUGAAUAAUUCAAUGCUUUCUGUACGGGAAAUGAGAAUAUUUAAAUAAUUCGUCGAUUAUGGAUGAUUAGAAUGUAACAACUAUAAACACUGAUUACGAUUUAUUAUACAAGCUUUUCGAGUUUCUCGUUGUCUCGAGACGAUCGAACGAUACCCAUUAAAGUAGGAAUUUACAUAGGAUCUGCAGCUGAUCGUUGACGGAACUGUGAGCUCUCGAGGGAAGAACUAAGUGUUGCGUGAUUGUUUCACGAGAAAGAAAAACGUGAGAGAGCAAUUCGUUGAAUGCUAGUUAAUUUAACGGUGAUUAGAGUUAUAGUGCCGGCAAAUGAAACAUGUUGCGGUGUACCUUUACGGCUGGUUUAUUGAAACAAAAUGAACAAACAAUUCUCCUGAAGAUUCGUUACCCACAGAAAGAACCUGUUGAAAGGUCUUUGCGCAUUUUUGUGAACGCGGCCGAAGAAAUGGAAUCUACGUAGAGAUUCGUUUUAUCUACAAAGUAAUAUAAUAAAUGCUAUAUUUCGAA